RNAcentral lists this ribosomal RNA (576 nucleotides) under Triticum aestivum (bread wheat). Its description in RNAcentral is "partial small subunit ribosomal RNA". Lineage: Eukaryota; Viridiplantae; Streptophyta; Magnoliopsida; Poales; Poaceae. The record is from RNAcentral.
AUGGCCAAAGUGUCAGACUUUGGAACCUCCAUACUAGCCCCGUCUGACAAAGAGCAGUUUGUCACAAUAGUUCAAGGUACUUGUGGUUACCUUGAUCCUGAAUACAUGCAAACAUGUCAGCUAACAGACAAAAGUGAUGUGUACAGUUUCGGAGUUAUCCUUUUAGAGAUUCUCACAGGCCAAUUGCCACUAAAGCUCGAGGGGUCUGAGACGCAAAGAAGCUUGUCAUUGGUUUUCUUGUGUGCUAUGAAGAACAAUAAUCUAGAUGAUAUGUUGGCGAGCCAUGUGAAAAGCGAAGAGAGCAUGGAAUUGCUGACAGGACUUGCAGACCUAGCAAAGCAAUGCCUAGAUAUGCAUGGUAUCAAUAGGCCCUCAAUGAAAGAGGUUGCCGAUGAGCUCAACAAAUUGAGGAAGCUUUCAGUGCAUCCUUGGUUACAACUUGACAUGGAGGCAAAUGCAGAAAGCCUUCUUGGUGGAGAGCCAACCAGCGGUCAUGAAAUUGAAUUAAGUGGGUAUACUAUAGGAGAAAAUGAGAACCAACCUAUAAACCCAAGAAGUUCUUAUUAUGCUAAGUGA